This is a non-coding RNA of Manis javanica (Malayan pangolin), 464 nucleotides long. NCBI's taxonomy places the organism in Eukaryota, Metazoa, Chordata, Mammalia, Pholidota, Manidae. The record is from RefSeq and is a predicted model, not a curated record.
GGUCCCAGCAGCAUUCACCAGCACCCUGCUUCCUUCCUAUGCUGAACACGGCCCUGAGAGCAGCUCUCCUAGUUGCUCUGUGGUGGGACAGGCCAUCUCACCCGCCAUGCUUUCUGAGCACCCACCUAGAAGCUCUUCACUGAAGCUGAGGCUGAUCACUCAUUCUGUUGUGAGCACCAUACAGAGAGGCUGAUAUGGCAAGGAAAUGAAGGCUCUGGCCAACAGCCAGUGAGGAACUGAGGCCUGCUGACCACCGUGCCAGUGAGCGUGGAAGUGGGUCUUCCAGGCCCAUCUGAAUCAAGUCUUCAGGUGGUCACAAUCCCCACAAAAGCUCAGCCACAAUCUCGAGAGAGCCCCUGAGCCAGAACCACCCAGUUAAGACGCUCCUGGGUUCCAGACCCUUGGAAACUGUGUGCUUUAACAAAUGUUUGUUGUUGUAAGCCCUAAGUUUUACAGUAAUUUGU